RNAcentral lists this ribosomal RNA (512 nucleotides) under uncultured bacterium. Its description in RNAcentral is "bacterial SSU rRNA". It matches the Rfam family "Bacterial small subunit ribosomal RNA", at positions 28 to 528 of the family's 1533-position model. The record is from RNAcentral.
GAUGAACGCUAGCGGCAGGCCUAACACAUGCAAGUCGAGGGGCAUCAUGGCGUAGCAAUACGCUGAUGGCGACCGGCGCACGGGUGCGUAACGCGUAUGGAACCUACCCACCGCAGGGGGAUAACCCGCCGAAAGGCGGACUAAUACCCCAUGGUUCCCCGACCCUGCCUGGGGUUGGGGGUAAAGCCUACGGGCGGCGGUGGAUGGCCCUGCGUGCCAUUAGCUGGCUGGUGGGGUAACGGCCCACCAGGGCGACGAUGGCUAGGGGGUCUGAGAGGACGAUCCCCCACACUGGUACUGAGACACGGACCAGACUCCUACGGGAGGCAGCAGUGAGGAAUAUUGGUCAAUGGGCGCAAGCCUGAACCAGCCAUGCCGCGUGAAGGAUGACGGCCCCUAUGGGUUGUAAACUUCUUUUGUACGGGAAAAAACCUCUAGGUCGAGAAUCAGAGCUGAUGGUACCGUAAGAAUAAGCAUCGGCUAACUCCGUGCCAGCAGCCGCGGUAAUCUGU